RNAcentral lists this transfer RNA (67 nucleotides) under Hymenocera picta. RNAcentral's name for it is "tRNA-Lys". The record is from RNAcentral. Lineage: Eukaryota; Metazoa; Arthropoda; Malacostraca; Decapoda; Palaemonidae.
CAUUAGGUGACUGAAAAGAAAGUAUAAGUCUUUUAAACUUAUUAUAGUAAUCGCCUACUCCUAGUGA